RNAcentral lists this long non-coding RNA (400 nucleotides) under Triticum aestivum (bread wheat). Its description in RNAcentral is "long non-coding RNA (TAES_LNC000949)". The record is from RNAcentral. Lineage: Eukaryota; Viridiplantae; Streptophyta; Magnoliopsida; Poales; Poaceae.
CUGCAAAAGGCUCAAUUUGGGUCCUUUUGGGAGAGCAAUUAAGCCAACAUGGAGAUAGAAGUAUGGAAAAUGUAAAAUGAUAUGUAACCAAUCUAGGUGAAAUGAGGGAGCGCAAGUCGCUAGUUUUUUAUUAUUUAUUUAAAUGGCGGAUCAAAUUUCUAGAAAAUUUUCUAGCAAAUUUGCUAGCUGAUCAACACAUGAUUAUCUCGGGACCCAUAAGGUCGGGAUUUAUUAACCCAAAGAAUGAGAGAUGGCACAACUACUGUGUUGCUGGUGGCGGUGGGCAAUUAAUCUUGCACGGGCAGUUUGUGAAGCAUUCCCCAAGGUUUACCCAACAUAUCCUGUCCGUUUGACAGCAAUAUUGCAGGCUUGGGGGCUGUUGAUGGUCUUUAUAACAAGG